UUGAACGCUGGCGGCAGGCCUAACACAUGCAAGUCGAACGGUAACAGGAAGCAGCUUGCUGCUUUGCUGACGAGUGGCGGACGGGUGAGUAAUGUCUGGGAAACUGCCCGAUGGAGGGGGAUAACUACUGGAAACGGUAGCUAAUACCGCAUAACGUCGCAAGACCAAAGAGGGGGACCUUAGGGCCUCUUGCCAUCGGAUGUGCCCAGAUGGGAUUAGCUAGUAGGUGGGGUAACGGCUCACCUAGGCGACGAUCCCUAGCUGGUCUGAGAGGAUGACCAGCCACACUGGAACUGAGACACGGUCCAGACUCCUACGGGAGGCAGAAGUGGGGAAUAUUGCACAAUGGGCGCAAGCCUGAUGCAGCCAUGCCGCGUGUAUGAAGAAGGCCUUCGGGUUGUAAAGUACUUUCAGCGGGGAGGAAGGGAGUAAAGUUAAUACCUUUGCUCAUUGACGUUACCCGCAGAAGAAGCACCGGCUAACUCCGUG
This 489-nucleotide ribosomal RNA is filed under the name uncultured bacterium. Its description in RNAcentral is "partial 16S ribosomal RNA". It matches the Rfam family "Bacterial small subunit ribosomal RNA", at positions 30 to 507 of the family's 1533-position model. The record is from RNAcentral.